Molecule: ribosomal RNA, 465 nt
Filed under: uncultured bacterium
Lineage: Bacteria
Description: partial 16S ribosomal RNA
Rfam family: Bacterial small subunit ribosomal RNA
Source: RNAcentral
GACGAACGCUGGCGGCGUGCUUAACACAUGCAAGUCGAACGGAAAGGCCCUGCUUGCAGGGUACUCGAGUGGCGAACGGGUGAGUAACACGUGGGUGAUCUGCCCUGCACUUCGGGAUAAGCCUGGGAAACUGGGUCUAAUAGCGGAUAGGAGCCAUUUUUAGUGUGAUGGUUGGAAAGUUUUUUCGGUGUAGGAUGAGCUCGCGGCCUAUCAGCUUGUUGGUGGGGUAAUGGCCUACCAAGGCGGCGACGGGUAGCCGGCCUGAGAGGGUGGACGGCCACAUUGGGACUGAGAUACGGCCCAGACUCCUACGGGAGGCAGCAGUGGGGAAUAUUGCACAAUGGGCGCAAGCCUGAUGCAGCGACGCCGCGUGGGGGAUGACGGCCUUCGGGUUGUAAACUCCUUUCGCUAGGGACGAAGCUUUUUGUGACGGUACCUAGAGAAGAAGCACCGGCUAACUACGUG